GACAGAGGAGCCAAGCGUUGUCCGGAUUGACUGGGCGUAAAGCGCACGCAGGCGGUCGCGCGCGUGGGGUGUGAAAUCUGGCCGCUUAACGGCCAGGCGCCAUCCCAUACGGCGCGACUGGAGUGAUGCAGAGGUCGAUGGAAUUGCCGGUGUAGUGGUGAAAUGCGCAGAUAUCAGGAGGAACACCGAUGGCGAAGGCAGCUCGCUGGGACGGUACUGACGCUGAGGCGCGAAAGCGUGGGGAGCAAACAGG
RNAcentral lists this ribosomal RNA (253 nucleotides) under uncultured bacterium. RNAcentral describes it as "partial 16S ribosomal RNA". It matches the Rfam family "Bacterial small subunit ribosomal RNA", at positions 524 to 776 of the family's 1533-position model. The record is from RNAcentral.